GCGCUCGCAUCCCGUCGUCCUGGACGCUCACCGGUCCUCGUGUCGUCGAGAUUACAACGCCGCCGCGACGUAUUCAGUCCGUUUUUAUUUCGCGUUUCAUUUUGUAUUUCGUUCCGUCCAAAUCCCUGCCGGCCUUGACGCGCGUGUUUUUCGUAUACUUAGACGUUGUUUUACGUCGAACUCGAAACAUAACACAUAAUUUAUUAUUUUUUGCUUCAUUCAUUUCCGCACCUCUCUCCAUCCCCCUGACCAUACCCAACACAAAGUUUUCAGUUAACUUGUUAUUGGAAAAAAAAAAAAAAACGAAGUCUCCUAAAAUGUUUGCCGCACAAUUAUUGUUCACGCCGGCACACGUGCCGCCGCUGCAACUGUCGUACCACCGUCACUAGGGUUUGAUUCGGAAGUGAUGUGUACAUAUUUUCGGUGAAUAUGUAUAUUCGAACGAAAGGAUCGAAAAUGUGGGCUUGGCGGUCUUGAGAAGAACCGGGUUUUUCAUAUUCGCGGCCAAAAUAUGAUGUUUGGAAGCAAAAAGAAAG
This is a long non-coding RNA of Myzus persicae (green peach aphid), 536 nucleotides long. RefSeq lists it as uncharacterized. Lineage: Eukaryota; Metazoa; Arthropoda; Insecta; Hemiptera; Aphididae. The record is from RefSeq and is a predicted model, not a curated record. The transcript is spliced from 2 exons.